Molecule: ribosomal RNA, 228 nt
Filed under: uncultured bacterium
Lineage: Bacteria
Description: partial 16S ribosomal RNA
Rfam family: Bacterial small subunit ribosomal RNA
Source: RNAcentral
CGGGGUGAGUAAUGUCUGGGAAACUGCCUGAUGGAGGGGGAUAACUACUGGAAACGGUAGCUAAUACCGCAUAACGUCGCAAGACCAAAGAGGGGACCUUCGGGCCUCUUGCCAUCGGAUGUGCCCAGAUGGGAUUAGCUAGUAGGUGGGGUAAUGGCUCACCUAGGCGACGAUCCCUAGCUGGUCUGAGAGGAUGACCAGCCACACUGGAACUGAGACACGGUCCAG